Molecule: transfer RNA, 75 nt
Filed under: Planctomycetota bacterium
Lineage: Bacteria; Pseudomonadati; Planctomycetota
Also listed under: 1 other name
Description: Planctomycetes bacterium (salt lake metagenome) tRNA-Gly
Rfam family: tRNA
About the family: Transfer RNA (tRNA) molecules are approximately 80 nucleotides in length. Their secondary structure includes four short double-helical elements and three loops (D, anti-codon, and T loops).
Source: RNAcentral
GCGGGUGUAGCUCAAUGGAAGAGCGCCAGCUUGCCAUGCUGGUUGUUGUGGGUUCGAAUCCCAUCACCCGCUCCA